Molecule: transfer RNA, 82 nt
Filed under: Lactobacillus sp. S2-2
Lineage: Bacteria; Bacillati; Bacillota; Bacilli; Lactobacillales; Lactobacillaceae
Description: tRNA-Leu
Rfam family: tRNA
About the family: Transfer RNA (tRNA) molecules are approximately 80 nucleotides in length. Their secondary structure includes four short double-helical elements and three loops (D, anti-codon, and T loops).
Source: RNAcentral
GCGGGCAUGGCGGAACUGGCAGACGCGCUAGAUUUAGGUUCUAGUGUCUUAGGACGUGGGGGUUCGAAUCCCUUUGCCCGCA